Long non-coding RNA from Apteryx rowi (Okarito brown kiwi), 1579 nucleotides. NCBI's taxonomy places the organism in Eukaryota, Metazoa, Chordata, Aves, Apterygiformes, Apterygidae. The record is from Ensembl.
CAAUGACAACCCAGCAGUAUCUGUGUUGAUUUUGCUUCUUUCCCUGUCAUUAGGAUUGCCCUUGGACGGCAUUCUCACUGCCGUGGGUGACCAUGUCACAGCAAAUCACACCGUUACUAUAGCCUUACAGAGUGGCAGUGAAAGGAUUACUGCUGUGUUUGAAGGUCAGAGUCUGUCUGUAGAGCCUCCUAAAUCCCAGCUAUCUGUGAGUUUACAGCACAACAUCUCAAAGAUAAAGAAACUUGGGAUUCCCUUUAUUGUGGAAGCUGCUGGCUAUUACCAGAAUUUCAGCAAAGGGAUUGCUGCAGGGCUAACAACCAUGGUGGAGAAGGAACAGUUCAAAGUCAAAAUAGAGAAGAAAACCACUGUUGGUGCUAUGGAAAUUUCCCUUUCACUUCAUCAUGAUGUGGGAGUACUGAUAAACAUUGUCCCACAGGCCAUACAGGUUACUUGCAGUGGAGAAUCCAUCUACAAACAACUUUCUGGCCUUUGCAAUGGAGACAUUGCAAGUCAUCAUUCUGAGACUCCAGCAAAAGUUUCACUGAAUGGGUCGAUGUUUACCAGCAACUCUACUGUCAGCUUCUUUGGACACAUUUCUUUUAAUGAGAUGUUUGCCUGUCUGCAACUCUAUGCCACCUUCAACAUCCAGCCUCAUUUGGAGCUUGACUUCAAGCAUUCCUUGCCUCAGCUUCAGUCUCUGGGUGUUGCCAAAGAGAACCAAGUGAAGGUGUCAGCCAUGAGAAGUGACAAGUAUAAAGGCGUGCUUGAGAUUGUCCUUGGGCACUGCAGUUUAAAAGCUGAUGGAGAAGUGAACCUGGCAAGCAAUGAAACAGAUACAGAAUGGAUACUUACUGUUAGAAACAAGUGUGUCAGUCUAGAGAUGGUGGGACUGCCUCAUGCAGUAGCCUUUGAGGGCUCUUUCAAACAGAACAUCUGCAACAUUGGCUUAUUGAUGAACCUCCAGUGUGAUGGCAAAACAGCAGAUAUGCAGAUAGACACUUCCUGCAAGCAUGAAUACACACUCCAAGGGAUGCUAAGGCAUUCAGUUCCCUGGCUCAGGGAGCUUGGGUUGCCUUUUGAAAAUUCUGUCCUGUUCUCUGCAGCCACAGAUGUCACCACUGAAGGCAUUUUGUUGCUGCAGGCUGGCAGAUGCAACCUUAAGGCUAGAGGAGGUCUCUGUAUUCAGAAUAAAGCUGAAUGGACACUGGAAACAGAAACAGAGUGUCAGCUUCUGCAGGAUCUUGGUAUUCCAGCUCAGUCACGGCUCACAGGAUAUAUUCAGAAAGACAGCUGCCAAGCAGGACUUCUCUGCAUCCUUGAAACAGAUGGCAAGGUUGCCCGUCUUGAAGUAAGAACAGAGUGCAAGCCAAAGAUGACCCUGGAAGUUCAAUUCAGACAUGAGUUCCUUCAACUGAAAGAAAUUCCAAGGGAAAACAAGCUGUCUGUCACGGCACAAAAGGAGUUAAAAUAUCAUAUUGACAUAGGAUUGAAUUCAGGUGCUUGUGAGCUUCAAAUGAAUGGGGAUUUCUACUCUGAAAAGAAGCUUCAGUGGAAAAUGUUUAUAGAAAACAAAUGCCAA